Vespula vulgaris is the source of this 1075-nucleotide long non-coding RNA. RefSeq lists it as uncharacterized. NCBI's taxonomy places the organism in Eukaryota, Metazoa, Arthropoda, Insecta, Hymenoptera, Vespidae. The transcript is spliced from 5 exons. The record is from RefSeq and is a predicted model, not a curated record.
UGAGCGAGUCAAUUUGGGUGGAAUUCCGACACAUCCACGGAAGUUGAAUAAAUCGUUCAUUCUUUUUCGAGUCGUCCUAGAAGCACGUUCAUGGGUGCUUUUGAAAAUGGACGGUCCGGAAUAAUAUAAAAGCGCCUCUUCAGUCGCGAUAAUGGAAACCAUCUUAAACAAUUUAAGCAACACGCUCUCGAUAGUCCGGCAGAUCAAAAUUAUUAAAGGAGGUAGAUAGAACUAUUUUCACUAGAAUAUGAACAAUUUUACAUUCGGUGUUACCACACAGUUUGCGAGAAGUUGAUAUUAUUUACACACAUUUCGAGAAGAGUCCAGCGAAAAAUUCGAAGAACCAAAGAAAAAAUAACGGGAACUGUAUACAUCAAUUCCUGGCAAUUUGCUGAGACAAUGACUACACAGAUUGGCUUCCCAAAUCAUGUUGCAUAAACUAGAAAUCUGUAACACUUCUGAUCCUAAUGAUGCAUACGUCGAUAUAUUCUUAAGGAUACUUAGUAAAAUGUUUGAAUCAGUAGAAAAGAUGACUGAUCCGGUAACUGUCCAAAUGAAUCAUUUUACGACAUUACAAAUAGCGAACUACCACCAUUUCAAGAUUUAUGUCUAUCGGAAAAUAAAUUAAAAAUAUUUGUUGCUUCGUAAGUGUCCCGUGGGGUGUUCAACGGAAUGUAUUCUUGCUAAAACAGCGGUUUAUUAAACUUCUCGUACAUCUAUUUCGUUCAAAUGAAUCUAAAAUUACCGAAAGUGUUAAGUUUGAAGUAUUCACCUGUGGAAAGAGAGGGCAAUCAUCAGAUUCAUUCAAAGGACUGGCUGUAUAAAAGCAAUUCGCUGAAUUAUGAAUUGAAAUUGAUAAAUGGAGAUAAAAAAAUUAAAAUAGGGUUUAUCUUAUCGAGAGUAUGUUGUUUCAAAUGAUGUAAAUGAUAUAGUCCAUUAUCGUGCCUGGGGGGGUGCUUAUAUAUAGUUCCAUUUUCUGGAGUUCCCAAGAACCUGCAUGGAUGACUACGAAACUUAGAAUCAACAGCUUGUAUUCCUCUUUAAAGAAUACAAUAAAUUCAAUGAUCAAAUAAAA